RNAcentral lists this ribosomal RNA (329 nucleotides) under Capnocytophaga sp. AHN9647. RNAcentral describes it as "bacterial SSU rRNA". It matches the Rfam family "Bacterial small subunit ribosomal RNA", at positions 106 to 434 of the family's 1533-position model. The record is from RNAcentral. Lineage: Bacteria; Pseudomonadati; Bacteroidota; Flavobacteriia; Flavobacteriales; Flavobacteriaceae.
GUGCGUAACGCGUAUGCAACCUACCUUUCACAGGGGGAUAGCCCGGAGAAAUUUGGAUUAAUAUCCCAUAAUAUUGUUGGAUGGCAUCAUUUGGCAAUUAAAGUUACGAUGGUGGAAGAUGGGCAUGCGUCCUAUUAGCUAGUUGGCGAGGUAACGGCUCGCCAAGGCGACGAUAGGUAGGGGUCCUGAGAGGGAGAUCCCCCACACUGGUACUGAGACAGGGACCAGACUCCUACGGGAGGCAGCAGUGAGGAAUAUUGGUCAAUGGUCGGAAGACUGAACCAGCCAUGCCGCGUGCAGGAAGGCGGCCUUAUGGGUUGUAAACUGCU